Molecule: non-coding RNA, 415 nt
Filed under: Pan troglodytes (chimpanzee)
Lineage: Eukaryota; Metazoa; Chordata; Mammalia; Primates; Hominidae
Also listed under: 1 other name
Source: RNAcentral
AAUUUGCCUCGUCGAAGUACUGACUUUACAAGCAGGGACUAUUAUAUUAAUAUAAGAAAAGCUUUGGUUACUGGGUAUUUUAUGCAGGUUGGUGAAAAUUGCCCCUCAAUAUUAUGACAUGAGCAAUUUCCCACAGUGUGAAGCAAAGAGACAGUUGGACCGCAUCAUUGCCAAACUUCAAUCCAAGGAAUAUUCACAGUACUGAAUUCAGUGCUUAGAACUGAAGUUAUUGAGAGGACAGCUUUAAAAGAUGAAUGAACUCAAAAGUUCGAGUUGUGCUCUUCACGUUGGUUCGAUAAUGGCCUUUAUUUGAAAGCUUUUUAAUUUUUCUUUACAGUAAAUAUUCCAUUCUGAUUUCAUAAAUUAAACAUUUAUGCCUCCCUUUUGUGUUGACACUGUAGCUCAUACUGGAAAA